This 2415-nucleotide ribosomal RNA is filed under the name Triticum aestivum (bread wheat). RNAcentral describes it as "partial small subunit ribosomal RNA". Lineage: Eukaryota; Viridiplantae; Streptophyta; Magnoliopsida; Poales; Poaceae. The record is from RNAcentral.
AUGAAGCCCUUAGGCACAUCGCCCUCUUCUGGCCUGCACCUAGCUCCAUUGCUAAUUGUCCUAUUCAUGCACGGGCCUCAUCUGCUUGUAGUUGUAGCAGACAACCUCACGGCCGGAUCGUCUCUCAGGCCCCCUCAGUACAUCACCUGCCCCUCCGGUGACUUCGCCUUUGGCUUCCGUGCCCUCGACUAUGACCCCAGUCAGUUCCUCCUCGCCGUCUGGUUCAACCUCAACCUUGACCCGGCAGCCGACCCCGGGCAGAAGAAGGUGGUGUGGUACGCGAAAGACCCGGUCUCAGACUCGGCAAUCAUGGCCACGGGGCAGGCCGUAUUCAGUAUCACCCCCCAUGGUGAGCUCUUGCUCACAGACUCCACCACCGGCGGCAACAUCUGGACGAACCCGAGCCCUGGCCAGUCAGGGAACGUCCUCACGCUACAGGACUCGGGCAACCUCCAGUUCAUCGCCAUCGGGGGGAGCACCGUCGUCUGGGAGACCUUUCGGCACCCGACCGACACGCUCCUCCCGGGGCAGACAAUGGUCUCUGGAGCAAGUCUUCAGUCUAAGCAAUCAGACACAGACUUCUCUGCUGGCCGCUUCAGCUUGUAUGUGCAGGCUGACGGCAAUAUAGUCUUGUACCUCAUGAACCUCGCCGGUGACAUGGACUCAUACAAUUCAUACUGGCGCACCGGCACCGGCCAGCCCGGGCAAACCCAGGACGGCAACACCACCCUUUUCUUCGAUUCGCCGGGCCACCUCCACUACCAGAUCAAGGAUGGCACGAUGCGCGAUCUGACACCUCCCAUGCCGAACUCCACCGUUAGUUACUACAAGCAUGCAACGCUUGAUCCAGAUGGCAUUGUUCGUGUCUACACCCUGCAGAAGAAUGCCACCGGAAGGCGCAAUGUGCCAUGGACGAUCUUUGGGCUGUUCCCAAGCAAUGGUUGCAGCAGCAGCACUACAGGCUGGGAAGGAAUGUGCGGCCCCAACUCGUACUGUGUUUAUGGUCCUAACAACAAGCUCGAUUGUGAGUGCCCAAGUGGUUACUCCUUCAUCGAUCCUAGGCUCAAGUACAGAGGCUGCACACCAGUGUUCGUGCCACAGAGCUGUGAUGGGAAGAACCGGCCCUCCGAGUUCAGUCUUGUUAAGUUGCCAAACACCACUUGGUUGCUGUCAUCAUACAGAGGGUAUUCGUACACCACAGAGGAGAAGUGCGACAACUCAUGCUUGCGAGACUGCUUCUGCACUGCCACUCUGUUCGAUGGAAAAGUUUGUUACAAAAUGGCAUUAUUGGCGGGCGCAGGAUGGCAGGAAGGAAGCCUCAACAUGAAGGCAUCGAUCAAGGUGCGGACAAGCAGCCUCCCGAUGCCGACAUCACCGAGAAGACCAUUGCCUUAUUUACUGCUGAUUUGCUCGGUGCUAUUGAUGCUGGCUGCAGCAAGUAGUCUCAUGCUACAUUUUUGCCUUCGGAAGAAGAACACUAACCAUGAUUUCCUGAGGGUUUUCACCCGAAAGGAGCUUUACAAAGCCACCAAUGGCUUUCACAAGUUGUUGGGCAAAGGAGGCUUUGGAGAGGUCUACCAUGGGGUGAUAAUGUCGUUACACGCCUCUGAUGUAGCAGUGAAGAAGCUCAUCAACUCCAACGAGUACAGCGAGCGGGAGUUCGCGAAUGAGGUGCAGUCCAUCGGCAGGAUUCAUCAUAGGAAUCUAGUGCGCAUGGUCGGUUACUGCAAGGAGCAGGAGCAAAGGAUGCUUGUGUUUGAGUUCAUGCCAGGCGGCUCCCUUCGAAGCUUCGUCUUCCAACCUCAACGGCCGUUGUGGACGUGGCGUGUAGAGGCAGCAAUUGGGAUUGCCAAAGGGCUAGAGUAUUUACAUGAAGGCUGCGAUUCUCCGAUCAUUCAUUGUGACAUCAAGCCCGACAAUAUACUUCUAGAUGGCAAGAACAAUCCAAAGAUAACUGACUUUGGGAUCGCCAAGCUUCUCAACAACCAGCAGAUGCACACGACAGUGACCAAUAUCAGAGGCACAAGGGGAUAUAUUGCCCCUGAGUGGUUCCAAAGCGACAGGCGCAUCGACACCAAGGUUGAUGUUUACAGCUUUGGCGUUGUGUUACUAGAGAUGAUAUGCUGCCUGAAGUGCCAGGAGCCGGUGACAGGGCAGGAUGGUGAAGAUUCAGUCACAUUGUUCUGGUGGGCCGGUCAAUUGGUUCAUCAUGGCAGGACUGAAAUUCUGCUGCAUGAUGACGAUGAUGCCAUGGAGGACUUGGUCAGGGUGAAGAGGUUCUCACGUGUCGCAUUCUGGUGCAUCGAGCAGAAUCCUUUGUUGCGACCAACAAUGCACCAAGUUGUGCAGAUGUUGGAGGGUGUUGUUGAGGUUGGCAUUCUACCUGAUCCUCCAAACUCCACAGACCAUCCUUGA